CAUGAAUUUAUUUAUUUAUAAAAAUAUACAACGCUCAACGCUGAUACAUUGAUUUAAGAUGACUUGAUACCAUGAAAAUUAGACGAAAAAUCAUUCUACUACAACAUCACCGAUUUUUGUACCUUCAAUCUCUAUUAAUAUAUAUUCAAAAGAAAUAAAAAGUGUAUUGAUUUUUUUGGUUGAAAUGUCAACUUGCACGAAUAGAUUUGAUUGAAUCCAGGUUUAUUCAUUUGUGUUAUUUAUCUCGUCUAACGUUUCGUUUUCCUCUACAGAAAUCAUUUUCAAAGAUCAAUAAACACUUUCUCACAACUAAAUAGUAAAAGGUGACAGCACAGGCAAUGCCCCAAUGGACCAUUUGCAUUAUACACUAAAUUUGUCUAAACAAGUCUAGACAAAAAUUUAGCUCUAGACAAAAGAGCAUCACAAAAAUUCUAGACAAAAGAGCAUCACAAAAUUAGUAAUAUUCCAAAGUUUCGUUGCGAAAUGUUGUAAAAUGCGGAUAA
Paramuricea clavata is the source of this 503-nucleotide non-coding RNA. NCBI's taxonomy places the organism in Eukaryota, Metazoa, Cnidaria, Anthozoa, Malacalcyonacea, Plexauridae. The record is from the annotation of a GenBank genome assembly.